CUUACACAUGCAAGUCGAACGGCAGCACGGACUUCGGUCUGGUGGCGAGUGGCGAACGGGUGAGUAAUAUAUCGGAACAUACCCAGUAGUGGGGGAUAACUAUCCGAAAGGAUAGCUAAUACCGCAUACGAUCUGUGGAUGAAAGCAGGGGAUCUUCGGACCUUGUGCUAUUGGAAUGGCCGAUAUCUGAUUAGCUAGUUGGUAGGGUAAAAGCCUACCAAGGCGACGAUCAGUAGCUGGUCUGAGAGGACGACCAGCCACACUGGAACUGAGACACGGUCCAGACUCCUACGGGAGGCAGCAGUGGGGAAUUUUGGACAAUGGGGGCAACCCUGAUCCAGCAAUGCCGCGUGAGUGAAGAAGGCCCUCGGGUUGUAAAGCUCUUUUGUCAGGGAAGAAACGGAGUUCUCUAAUAUAGGAUUCUAAUGACGGUACCUGAAGAAUAAGCACCGGCUAACUACGUGCCAGCAGCCGCGGUAAUACGUAGGGUGCAAGCGUUAAUCGGAAUUACUGGGCGUAAAGCGUGCGCAGGCGGUUUCGUAAGUCUGAUGUGAAAUCCCCGGGCUCAACCUGGGAACUGCAUUGGAGACUGCAAG
RNAcentral lists this ribosomal RNA (596 nucleotides) under uncultured beta proteobacterium. RNAcentral's name for it is "bacterial SSU rRNA". It matches the Rfam family "Bacterial small subunit ribosomal RNA", at positions 48 to 639 of the family's 1533-position model. Lineage: Bacteria; Pseudomonadati; Pseudomonadota; Betaproteobacteria. The record is from RNAcentral.